RNAcentral lists this ribosomal RNA (492 nucleotides) under uncultured bacterium. RNAcentral's name for it is "partial 16S ribosomal RNA". It matches the Rfam family "Bacterial small subunit ribosomal RNA", at positions 29 to 507 of the family's 1533-position model. The record is from RNAcentral.
AGUGAACGCUGGCGGUAGGCCUAACACAUGCAAGUCGAACGGCAGCACAGUAAGAGCUUGCUCUUACGGGUGGCGAGUGGCGGACGGGUGAGGAAUACAUCGGAAUCUACUUUUUCGUGGGGGAUAACGGAGGGAAACUUACGCUAAUACCGCAUACGACCAACGGGUGAAAGCAGUGGAUCUUCGGACCUUGCGCGAUUGAAUUAGCCGAUGUCGGAUUAGCUAGUUGGCGGGGUAAAGGCCCACCAAGGCAACGAUCCGUAGCUGGUCUGAGAGGAUGAUCAGCCACACUGGAACUGAGACACGGUCCAGACUCCUACGGGAGGCAGCAGUAGGGAAUAUUGGACAAUGGGCGAAAGCCUGAUGCAGCCAUGCCGCGUGGGUGAAGAAGGCCUUCGGGUUGUAAAGCCCUUUUAUUGGGAAAGAAAAGCAGUAGGUUAAUACCCCGCUGUUUUGACGGUACCCAAAGAAUAAGCACCGGCUAACUUCGUG